CUGAUCAGUAAGAAGUGACUGCAUAGAGAUCUGUGGCUAACAAUGCCAAUGUCACUGGCAUCAUCAAUGAACUUCAUGAAGCAAUAUGCCUGUUCCUCACAUGGAAGAUGUACUGGCAGGUCAGCUCCACCAAAACCAGACCAGGACAAAAACAGCAUCAAGCAGAAGCAUCCAGCCCUAGGCUAGCAAAUGGGAGCUGUGAAGACACAAGCUGAACUAUAGGAGAUGUGUGAUGCUAACCUAUUGAGGGGAAUGUCACAGCCUCUUGAAUGAACAAUACUUUCUUGCUCCCCUAAAUGCUCAGUCUUAAGAGUCCUUGAAGAGAUUGGAUAAACACCAAAUACAGCAGUUCUAGACCUGAGCACCAUGGGUGGAAGGGCUGACAUUCACGCUUUUCACUGAGCACUAAUUAAGCAUUUAUUAAGAAGUGACCAUGUGGGGGCCGGGGAUUUAGCUCAGCUCAGUGGUUUUGCCACCUGCUGUGCAAGCACAAGGACCUGAGUUCGAUCCCUGGUACAAAAAAAAAAAAAAAAAAAAGGUGACCAUGUGUCAAGUACUGUGCUAGAUUCUGGAAUUAUCAACCUGAACAAUCCCACCCUGCAAGGGUUCACAGGAGGGAGGGUAGGACAAAGUCAUGGAGAUGGUGGCAGAAGGUGUGCACAAGGUCUGGGGAGUACAGAGGAAAGGAGUCGCUUCUAUGACCUCAGCUAAGAGAGCUGUCAUAGAAGAGGUUCCAUGACUGAUGAGCAAGGGCUUUCAGGUAGGUACAAAGAGGCAUUUCAAUCUUGGAACUGCCAGUGAUGGAGGCCCACAGUGCAGUAAUUCACAAACUGUAAGAGCUUCAGUGUGAUUAACAUGAAUGAUACAGGGCUGCUCAAGGAGUAGUGGUCCUGGCAGGAAGGCUGGGAGAUGAGAUGACAGAAAUGGCAAAGGAAGAGCCAAGAAAAGCACAUCUGGGGGUUUCUGCUGAACAACUCCUGUCUUCUGGGAGCUCAUCCAUGCAGUGAAUUUUAGCAAUUCUUAGAAAAAAGUAGAAGAAAUCUAUUAAUUCUGGAGGAAAUAUGGUCUGUGGCUUUUCAUGAGGAAUCGGGAGAGCUGUAGCAUGUCACCGAAACUAAGGUUGGAAAAAGGAAAAGCAAGAGGAGCAGAGAAGCAACAGCCCACAGAGGGCACAGAGAUGUGCACAGGCCUGGAGGGAGGUACCACAAAAGGAUGAAUAAUCACACACUCCUGGUUCUGAAUAAAAAGCAGCUUCCACACA
Heterocephalus glaber (naked mole-rat) is the source of this 1261-nucleotide long non-coding RNA. RefSeq lists it as uncharacterized. The record is from RefSeq and is a predicted model, not a curated record. Lineage: Eukaryota; Metazoa; Chordata; Mammalia; Rodentia; Bathyergidae.